Molecule: long non-coding RNA, 256 nt
Filed under: Salmo salar (Atlantic salmon)
Lineage: Eukaryota; Metazoa; Chordata; Actinopteri; Salmoniformes; Salmonidae
Description: lncRNA (ENSSSAG00000108460.1)
Rfam family: mir-9/mir-79 microRNA precursor family (bases 1-45)
Source: RNAcentral
CUAGCUGUAUGAGUUAUAAUUUCAUAAAGCUAGAGAACCGAAAGUAUAAACUAAUUCCAAGGACUCCAGAAGCCGGGCCUGCGGCGAGGUGGCUAUGGUCUGGGCAGGGAGAAGGUGGAUGCUGCACAUGCCUGUGCCAGUUCAGAACACCCAAAAUGCCGACGUGGGGAUUCAAGUAGAUUCCUGCCUGCUGAGAAACGGUUGUACCUGUCAAGAACUGAGUGAACACAGAUUCAUGUUGUUGGCUACAGCCGCC